GGUUAUAGCUCAGUGGUAGAGUGCCCGCCUAGCACAUGUGAGGCACUGGAUUCAAUCCUCAGCACCA
This 67-nucleotide transfer RNA is filed under the name Marmota monax (woodchuck). RNAcentral's name for it is "tRNA.Ala". The record is from RNAcentral. Lineage: Eukaryota; Metazoa; Chordata; Mammalia; Rodentia; Sciuridae.